AUUGAACGCUGGCGGCAUGCCUUACACAUGCAAGUCGAACGGCAGCACGGGAGCAAUCCUGGUGGCGAGUGGCGAACGGGUGAGUAAUACAUCGGAACGUGCCCAUUAGUGGGGGAUAGCCCGGCGAAAGCCGGAUUAAUACCGCAUACGACCUACGGGUGAAAGCAGGGGAUCGCAAGACCUUGCGCUAUUGGAGCGGCCGAUGUCAGAUUAGCUAGUUGGGGGGUAAAGGCCUACCAAGGCGACGAUCUGUAGCUGGUCUGAGAGGACGACCAGCACACUGGGACUGAGACACGGCCCAGACUCCUACGGGAGGCAGCAGUGGGGAAUUUGGACAAUGGGCGAAAGCCUGAUCCAGCCAUGCCGCGUGCGGGAAGAAGGCC
This 383-nucleotide ribosomal RNA is filed under the name uncultured bacterium. RNAcentral describes it as "bacterial SSU rRNA". It matches the Rfam family "Bacterial small subunit ribosomal RNA", at positions 29 to 416 of the family's 1533-position model. The record is from RNAcentral.